Molecule: ribosomal RNA, 951 nt
Filed under: Triticum aestivum (bread wheat)
Lineage: Eukaryota; Viridiplantae; Streptophyta; Magnoliopsida; Poales; Poaceae
Description: partial small subunit ribosomal RNA
Source: RNAcentral
AUGGCCUCCUUCUUGCAGCUCCCGCCGCCCGCCGCAUCGUCGCCCUCGCCGGAGCUGGCUGGCGAGCAGCACGGCUCGCGGCUUGCGUUGCAGCAGCUCCUGGCCGUUCCGCCGCCGUCGGCGCAGCAGCAGCAGCAGCGCAGGGAGAUCUCGCCGGCGGACGCCGCGACCAUCAAGGCCAAGAUCAUGGCGCACCCGCUCUACUCGCCGCUCCUCGCCUCCUACCUGGACUGCCAGAAGGUCGGCGCCCCGCCGGAGGUGCUGGAGAGGCUCUCGGCCGUGGCGGCGAAGCUGGACGCCGGGCAUGGCCGGGGGAAGCACGAGUCCCCGCGCCCCGACCCGGAGCUCGACCAGUUCAUGGAGGCCUACUGCAACAUGCUGGCGAAGUACAGGGAGGAGCUGGCGCGGCCGAUCCAGGAGGCCACGGAGUUCUUCAAGAGCGUCGAGACGCAGCUCGAUUCCAUCACAUUCACAGACAGUACUAAUUGCGAAGGCGCGGGGUCGUCCGAGGAUGAGCUGGACACGAGCUGCGUGGAGGAGAUCGACCCCAGCGCGGAGGACAAGGAGCUGAAGCACCAGCUGCUGAGGAAAUACGGCGGCUACGUGGGGAGCCUCCGCCAGGAGUUCUGCAAGCGGCGCAAGAAGGGGAAGCUCCCCAAGGAGGCCCGCCAGAAGCUGCUGCACUGGUGGGAGCUGCACUCCAAGUGGCCCUACCCCUCUGAGACGGAGAAGAUCGCGCUGGCGGAGUCGACGGGGCUGGACCAGAAGCAGAUCAACAACUGGUUCAUCAACCAGAGGAAGCGGCACUGGAAGCCGGCGCCGGAGGACAUGCCCUUCUCCGUGAUGGACGGCGGCGUGGGCGUGAGCUUCCUCCCCGCCCCGCAGGGCCCGGCGCUGUACAUGGACAGGGCGCCGUUCAUGGUGGACGGCAUGUACCGCCUCGGGUCGUGA